This 374-nucleotide ribosomal RNA is filed under the name uncultured eukaryote. RNAcentral describes it as "partial 18S ribosomal RNA". It matches the Rfam family "Eukaryotic small subunit ribosomal RNA", at positions 592 to 976 of the family's 1831-position model. The record is from RNAcentral.
CAAUAGCGUAUAUUAAAGUUGUUGCAGUUAAAAUGCUCGUAGUUAAAGAUCGGAUCGAGUAAAGCGUUGAAUUGCAGUCUACUAUGGCGCUCUUUAAGCUUUCGACUUGUCCGUUGUGUGUAUCAGACUACUUUUGUAAUUUGAAAGCACAGUUUACUUUGAGAAACAUAGGGGUUCCAAGCAUGUUAGAGCAUGAAUAUUCCAGCAUGGGAUAAUGUGGUACGACUUUUCCUCUGCCAUUUUGGUUCGUAGAGGGUGAGUAAUGAUUAAUAGGGACUGUCGGGGGCAUUGGUAUUUGACUGUCAGAGGUGAAAUUCUUAGAUUUGAUGAGGACCGACUACUGCGAAAGCAUUUGUCAAGGAUGUCUCCAUUAA